Molecule: ribosomal RNA, 108 nt
Filed under: Caerostris darwini
Lineage: Eukaryota; Metazoa; Arthropoda; Arachnida; Araneae; Araneidae
Source: RNAcentral
ACAGCCGUACCAUGCUGAAUAUACCGGUUCUCGUUAGAUCACCGAAGUUAAGCAUCAUUGGGCGCGGUCAGUACUUGGGUGGGUGACCACCUGGGAACACUGCGUGCC